RNAcentral lists this transfer RNA (75 nucleotides) under Sphaerodactylus townsendi. RNAcentral's name for it is "tRNA-Gly". It matches the Rfam family "tRNA". From Rfam's summary of the family: Transfer RNA (tRNA) molecules are approximately 80 nucleotides in length. Their secondary structure includes four short double-helical elements and three loops (D, anti-codon, and T loops). Lineage: Eukaryota; Metazoa; Chordata; Lepidosauria; Squamata; Sphaerodactylidae. The record is from RNAcentral.
GGAGGUGCUGUAGUUCAGUGGCAGGGCAUCUGCUUACCAUGCAGAAGGUACCAGGUUCGAUCCCCGGCAUCUCCA